Chrysoperla carnea is the source of this 957-nucleotide long non-coding RNA. RefSeq lists it as uncharacterized. The transcript has 3 exons. NCBI's taxonomy places the organism in Eukaryota, Metazoa, Arthropoda, Insecta, Neuroptera, Chrysopidae. The record is from RefSeq and is a predicted model, not a curated record.
AUUUUAUGCAUAAACAGGGUGGUAAGUUCCCAUCAAUACGACGUAGUUCAUCGUUAACAAAAAAAGCGUCUGGAUUAGCAAAUCAAAAAAAAGCAAAUUGUACAUGUUAUGGAGGUGUGUAAAUAUUAGUUCCUAUUUUCCGUUACGCCACUGUUCUGUUCCCGUUCCAUUCAUUUGUAAUUUUUCCAGUUUAAUUGUUUGAAAUUGGAUGAAAGCUUGAAUUUUAUUUUUUCGAUUAAACUAAUAUUGUGCUGAUAAGAGUUUACAGAGUGCACAUGGAAUAGGACUAAAUAAAAUUUCUGAAGAUUAGCUGCAUCUGGUAUAAUAUAAAAAAUCCAGCCUAUAGGUUAGUGACAUCUUUGACUAAUAUUUGAAAAAAGAAACUAAUGAAUGCAAGAGGGGUAUCAAAUUUGUUGAUCAUCCAUUGAAAUUGAUGAGUUGCAGGUAAAUUUUAAACGAGUAUUAUAAUAGUUUUAUGGACAAAAGCAAGGUUACACUCUUGGACACCUUGGCUUAAAAGUUGGCCAAUCAGAAUUUUUUUGGCCUAAUAAGUGGCAAAAUUUCAUACAUACAACAGUAUAACCAGCUAAAUGUAAGGUAAAUUCCGAUAUCGAGAAAAAGUCUACUACCUACCCUGGCCCUCUUUCCGUAUUUAUUAAACAAAUAAAUCACCACUUAAACCAUUGUUGCGCCCAAAAAAAUUUUCAUGAUUGAAUGUCCUUCUAUUACUUACAAGGACUUAGGCUUUAAGUUUGUUUAAGUACUUACCUUGGCAAACAAUUGCACAUGAAAUUAAAAAAUAAGGUUUUUCUUGUACUAAAUCGAAAUUACGUUUCAAAGAAGUGGGAUCCAAAAAUAUGAAAAUUUUGACGAUUUUGCAUAUAAUAUCUCAUAAAAUCUUAUUCGUUGAAUAAUUUUUUUCAAUUAGAUCUAUGGAAUUAUUAAACACACCCUCAU